UGUGACUGGAGGAAUCAGCGGAGGAGGAGGUGGUGAUAGUGAAGGCAGUUUCGGGCGAACGUGGGGCACUGUCCCAGACGAAGAGGAUGGCUGGUUAUGGUGGGGACCUUUCUGAAGUUUCAUGAUUGGAUUUCAGUCCAGCUCUACUACUAGGAUCAGCAACCUCCGGAACUGUGGUGUCACAACACAGGAAACAUAGAAGCACACUUCAGAGAUUCGUUGAGACCCCGUUGCAGGAUCUAAUCUGGAAAGCGCCCGGGAAAAACAGCCAAAAGCUUUGAAUGUGUCUAAGGUUGUUAGUUGCUGCAAGACUGUGCCCCCUGCUGUUUACAUUCCGAAUGCGACUUGCCCGAACGGAGGCAUUUUGCUGCUGAUGAGCAGCUAGUCUGGAAAGCGCCCUGGUAGAGAACAGGAGAUUUCAAAGGUGUGGUUAACUUUA
This is a long non-coding RNA of Hemicordylus capensis (graceful crag lizard), 439 nucleotides long. RefSeq lists it as uncharacterized. The transcript is spliced from 4 exons. The record is from RefSeq and is a predicted model, not a curated record. NCBI's taxonomy places the organism in Eukaryota, Metazoa, Chordata, Lepidosauria, Squamata, Cordylidae.